Molecule: ribosomal RNA, 544 nt
Filed under: Channa argus (northern snakehead)
Lineage: Eukaryota; Metazoa; Chordata; Actinopteri; Anabantiformes; Channidae
Description: partial 16S ribosomal RNA
Rfam family: Bacterial large subunit ribosomal RNA
Source: RNAcentral
UGCCAGUGACACUAAGUUCAACGGCCGCGGUAUUUUGACCGUGCAAAGGUAGCGCAAUCACUUGUCUUUUAAAUGAAGACCCGUAUGAAUGGCAUAACGAGGGCUUAACUGUCUCCUUUUUCAAGUCAAUGAAAUUGAUCUCCCCGUGCAGAAGCGAGGAUAACAACAUAAGACGAGAAGACCCUAUGGAGCUUUAGACACCAGAGUAGCCCUUGUCAAAGACCCCCAGUAAAAGGGCAAAACCAAAAGGACCCUACUCCCCUGUCUUUGGUUGGGGCGACCGCGGGGAAUACAAAACCCCCAUGUGGAAUGGGAGAACCCCUCCUGAAACCAAGAGCCACGGCUCUAAGCAAUAGAACAUCUAACCAAAAGAUCCGGCAUGGCCGAUCAACGAACCGAGUUACCCUAGGGAUAACAGCGCAAUCCCCUUCUAGAGUCCAUAUCGACAAGGGGGUUUACGACCUCGAUGUUGGAUCAGGACAUCCUAAUGGUGCAGCCGCUAUUAAGGGUUCGUUUGUUCAACGAUUAAAGUCCUACGUGAUCU